GAUGAACGCUGGCGGCGUGCUUAACACAUGCAAGUCGAACGGAAAGGCUCCUGCUUGCCGGGGUACUCGAGUGGCGAACGGGUGAGUAACACGUGGGUGAUCUGCCCUGCACUUCGGGAGAAGCCUGGGAAACUGGGUCUAAUACCGGAGAGGACGAUGGUUUGGAUGCCAUUGUGGAAAGUUUUUCGGUGUGGGAUGAGCUCGCGGCCUAUCAGCUUGUUGGUGGGGUAAUGGCCUACCAAGGCGUCGACGGGUAGCCGGCCUGAGAGGGUGUACGGCCACAUUGGGACUGAGAGACGCCCCAGACUCCUACGGGAGGCAGCAGUGGGGAAUAUUGCACAAUGGGCGCAAGCCUGAUGCAGCGACGCCGCGUGGGGGAUGACGGCCUUCGGGUUGUAAACUCCUUUCGCUAGGGACGAAGCGCAAGUGACGGUACCUGGAGAAGAAGCACCGGCUAACUACGUG
RNAcentral lists this ribosomal RNA (465 nucleotides) under uncultured bacterium. RNAcentral describes it as "partial 16S ribosomal RNA". It matches the Rfam family "Bacterial small subunit ribosomal RNA", at positions 28 to 507 of the family's 1533-position model. The record is from RNAcentral.